This 261-nucleotide long non-coding RNA is filed under the name Homo sapiens (human). Its description in RNAcentral is "non-protein coding lnc-SESN3-6:1". The record is from RNAcentral. Lineage: Eukaryota; Metazoa; Chordata; Mammalia; Primates; Hominidae.
UCCUUGAUUCUUUCAAUUUCUUCUCUCCUUUCCUCAAAGUCACCUGCAAAUUCUAUUGACUCUGUCUCCAAAACACAUCCUGAAUUCAUCUAUGUUUCUCCUUCUCCACUACUGCUAAUUUAACACAAGCCCCACUUCAUCUCUCCCUAGUAAGCUUGGAACUCAUAACCCUGCUUCCACUUUCCCACCUUUCCAUUUUGCACACAUUAUUCAGAGUGGUAUUUCUUAAACAUAAGUCAUAUAAAGUGCCUCCCUGGUUAA